Molecule: ribosomal RNA, 259 nt
Filed under: uncultured prokaryote
Description: partial 16S ribosomal RNA
Rfam family: Bacterial small subunit ribosomal RNA
Source: RNAcentral
UACGGAGGAUGCAAGCGUUAUCCGGAUUUAUUGGGUUUAAAGGGUGCGCAGGUUGUUUGAUAAGUCAGUGGUGAAAGUCUGUCGCUUAACGGUAGGAUUGCCAUUGAUACUGUUGGACUUGAAUAUGGAUGAGGUAGGCGGAAUUUGUGGUGUAGCGGUGAAAUGCAUAGAUAUCACGAGGAACUCCGAUUGCGCAGGCAGCUUACUAAACUACUACUGACGCUCAGGCACGAAGGCGUGGGGAUCAAACAGGAUUAGA